UGGAGCCAUGUGCUCACUCGGCCCGCGUUUUCCCGCAGUGUUGUGAACUCUUGGCCACCCCUCGUCCGGAGACAAAGGUCGGACGACACAAUGUUGUGUGUCGAAAACCGACAAUGAAGACAUCAUUCAAACCCUUAUAAUAUUGUACGGGAAGAUAACGCGCGCGGGAUCCGUCGAUUCUGCGUGGCCAAUGGUCCGUGUAAGUUGCGAACCGGUUUCCGCGCGAUCGUCCGGGUGGUGAUAUUUUUUUUUUUUUACAUUGUUACCCACAUGCCCAUAUACCCGAGGGAGUCCUGAAUCAACAACGAAUGUUCAUCUCCAGCUGAUGAUUUUUCUAAGACGAAGCAUGCGGGACAGAUCUAAAAUGUUCUUUCCCAUAUAUUUUUUGUUUUUUGUGUAAAUCAGGGGUCCCCAACAUACAGCCCCUUGAAGUUUAUUGAACCGACCGACCAAGUCUUUCGUGGGAUGUUUUAAUACUGUCAAUUCAAGUCCGAAACCAUGAUUUGGAGUCUAUUAUGCUUGGAACCAACAAUACUGAUACCGAGUCAUUACAGUACUAGAAAGUUUAACCGACCAGUAAGAAAAGAACACAGCAGAAGCAAUAUCAAAAUUUAAGGUCGAUUGAAUCAUUGAUAAUAUACAUAGAUUGAUAGAGUAUCCUCCGUAGUAUCAGAACAAGAUACGGGUAUACUGAAUACUUCCGUCAGUGUUCUCUAUCACGAAAUUGUAUACACAUCGAUGAGUUGGCUCUAGAUAUGAGUGCUAUAUUUCUACAUACACUACACAAUAUGCAAUUAUCACUGCAGUGAAGUAUUCUGUCUGGUGGUUUUCAAAUUUAAGACAACUUCCUAAAAGCUAAAUCGUCGGAGGUUAUGCAAAUCGAUGCAAAAUAACGUGGCUCCUGAAUAUUGAUAAAUUUCUCAUUAAAUCUGUACAUAUAUGUUGUGGUGCGCAUUUCAAAUAACUCAAAUCACUUGAAAAACAUUAAAUGAAAUCAAACUUCAAGUGUAAUUACGUCGAUUAUUAAUAAACUUUAUCUAUAAAUUAUUUAACCUGAAAAGUGCUGCUAUUGCAGUCAAAUGGUCCUACCAGAACGGAUGGCUUUAUUUGAAAGCUGUGAUAAAUCAUUACAUUCCAAAAAUGAUUCUGAGCCGAGGACAAUUUUUAGACAAACGGAAAAUAUAUAUUUCAAGACAAACUUCUGCUUACCUAAUGGAUUUUAUGAAAUAAAAACUACUUGGGAAUAUUGGGAAUUAUUAAAAUUUACGUUAUCGAUAUUAUAAUAAUAUACAAAAUGUAUCUAUUAAAUUUUCAAUUUAUAAAAAAAUA
Long non-coding RNA from Rhopalosiphum padi (bird cherry-oat aphid), 1329 nucleotides. RefSeq lists it as uncharacterized. The transcript has 5 exons. Lineage: Eukaryota; Metazoa; Arthropoda; Insecta; Hemiptera; Aphididae. The record is from RefSeq and is a predicted model, not a curated record.